Molecule: long non-coding RNA, 1460 nt
Filed under: Homo sapiens (human)
Lineage: Eukaryota; Metazoa; Chordata; Mammalia; Primates; Hominidae
Description: novel transcript
Source: RNAcentral
UAGGGCAGAGGGAUUGUCUGCACUAGGACAGCUCUGUUAAAAAGGAGGACUUUUUUGUUUAUGGGAAGAUUUCCAUAAAGAUGAUCUUCUGAGUGAAGGCUGGGCUUUAAGACGAAAUGAGAGACAGUGUUGGUGGAAGAAGAGAACUUAAGGAAUUAAGAAAAAGAAGAGAAGUACAGGAGAUAUCAUUAAAUUAUAUAGUUCUCUCUUCGACUGUAGCCUUAUAACAGGGACAUUAAUAGAAUUAACAGAUGACAACCCAGCCCAUGAGCACCAGAUGCCACUGCUACUCCUUCACUUGCUCAUUCUGCAAAAGUUUGUAGAUCUUCUGCAAGGAGAACGGCAUUGUUAACUACCUACAGGAAGUGCGUCUUCUCUGGAGAAGUCAACAGUGAGAUGGGCUAAAUGAAGAAGGAGCAGCUUAUUGUCUUUGUUGGUUUUCUUUAUUUUCCUUCGAAGCAUCUGGGGGAAGAGGAAGACAAUGGAUGAGAUGGCGUAUGUUCUUUCCGCCCUGUGAAUGAAUCAGAUUUGAACUCCUAAGCAAAAUAGAAAAUGCAGAAAUGGUGCUCAGGCAAAACCUGAGAGACACCGGGCUCAAGCGACUCUCCUCUGAAGUCCAUCUGAUAAAGUCUGAAUUAUGGAUAAGUCCUUUCCCCCUCAAUAGUCUACUGCUUACUAAAGUGUAGCUCAAUGACUCUGUGGGCUUGGGUAAUCAGCAGGUAAGCAUAGCUAUGCCCAAUGAAGCAGGGGCUGUGAGAAGAAGCCUUGAAGAGUACCUAAAGUAGAAAAUAAGUGAACUUUCUCCUAAGCCCAUAGGAAACAUCACUAUCCUGCUGAAGGCAGGGCAGAGGGAACACAGCAGAGUAGGCUCAGAAUAACUGGGAUUUGGGCACUGAUAUUAAUGUCACCAUAUCUACACUUAUUGAUUGUUGAGAUUAUACAUUUGGCUUGAAACCACAGGAACUAAUAUACUCUAAAUAUAAGCUGAGAAAAAUUAAAAAUAACCACAACUACAACAGUAGAAAGAGAAAAUAUAUGAAUGCCAAGAAUCUAAUGUGUAAAUUAACUACAAGGGUUUAGAAGUUUUGGGCAUCUCCCUGGGGAUUAGCUGUGCUCAGUCUCCCCUCCAGGAAAUCAUUUACAACUCUAUGUCUGUUACCCCAAAAUGACUUAAAUGAAGUUUAGGAUAAGACAGAGACAAGUUCAGAACAAGACAUGGGUGAGGUUCAGAAGAAUGAAAUUGAAAUUAUAUGAAUUUCCAAUUGUUAGAGAUGCAUGAGUGAGAUACAGGUUUUCAAGUGUUGUGAUGUCAUACCAUAAAAUGAUUAUAAACAUUUAGGAAACAAUCUCUCCUGUGGAAUCAGGAAUCAUUACUAAAUAUCACAAUUAUAGUGGAGACGCUGAAGAAGUCAAUAUAUGUGUUCUGAAAAACUUGAUUAAAUAAACUUCAAGGACACAGA